This 196-nucleotide microRNA precursor is filed under the name Oryza glumipatula. RNAcentral describes it as "MIR812 microRNA precursor family". It matches the Rfam family "MIR812 microRNA precursor family". Lineage: Eukaryota; Viridiplantae; Streptophyta; Magnoliopsida; Poales; Poaceae. The record is from Rfam by way of RNAcentral.
AAAAAGGCAAACCCUGGGUUUCCGUGCCAACGUUUGACUGUCCGUCUUAUAUGAAAUUUUUUUAUAAUUAGUAUUUUCAUUAUUGGUAGAUGAUAAAACAUGAUUAAUACUUUAUGCGUGACUUAUCUUUUUAAUCUUUUUCAUAAUUUUUUUAAAUAAGACGAACGGUCAAACGUUGGACACGGAAAUCAGGGUU